Molecule: ribosomal RNA, 492 nt
Filed under: uncultured bacterium
Lineage: Bacteria
Description: partial 16S ribosomal RNA
Rfam family: Bacterial small subunit ribosomal RNA
Source: RNAcentral
AGUGAACGCUGGCGGUAGGCCUAACACAUGCAAGUCGAACGGCAGCACAGUAAGAGCUUGCUCUUACGGGUGGCGAGUGGCGGACGGGUGAGGAAUACAUCGGAAUCUACUUUUUCGUGGGGGAUAACGUAGGGAAACUUACGCUAAUACCGCAUACGACCUACGGGUGAAAGCAGGGGAUCCUCGGACCUUGCGCGAUUGAAUGAGCCGAUGUCGGAUUAGCUAGUUGGCGGGGUAAAGGCCCACCAAGGCGACGAUCCGUAGCUGGUCUGAGAGGAUGAUCAGCCACACUGGAACUGAGACACGGUCCAGACUCCUACGGGAGGCAGCAGUGGGGAAUAUUGGACAAUGGGCGCAAGCCUGAUCCAGCUAUACCGCGUGGGUGAAGAAGGCCUUCGGGUUGUAAAGCCCUUUUGUUGGGAAAGAAAAGCAGCAGGUUAAUACCCCGCUGUUCUGACGGUACCCAAAGAAUAAGCACCGGCUAACUUCGUG